This 148-nucleotide non-coding RNA is filed under the name Chlorocebus sabaeus (green monkey). The record is from Rfam by way of RNAcentral. Lineage: Eukaryota; Metazoa; Chordata; Mammalia; Primates; Cercopithecidae.
GCCGGGUGUGGUGGCGCACACCUGUAAUCCCAGCUACUUGGGAGGCUGGGGCAGGAGACUUGCUUGAACCCAGGAGGCAGAGGUUGCAGUGAGCCAAGAUCGUGCCAUUGCAUUCCAGCCUGGGCGACAGAGUGAGACUUUGUCUCGG